This 217-nucleotide ribosomal RNA is filed under the name uncultured bacterium. RNAcentral's name for it is "partial 16S ribosomal RNA". It matches the Rfam family "Bacterial small subunit ribosomal RNA", at positions 1286 to 1500 of the family's 1533-position model. The record is from RNAcentral.
UCUCAGUUCGGAUUGGAGUCUGCAACUCGACUCCAUGAAGCUGGAUUCGCUAGUAAUCGCGCAUCAGCCAUGGCGCGGUGAAUACGUUCCCGGGUCUUGUACACACCGCCCGUCACACCAUGGGAGUCGGAAAUGCCCGAAGUCUGUGACCCAACCAUUAAGGAGGGAGCAGCCGAAGGCAGGUCGGAUGACUGGGGUGAAGUCGUAACAAGGUAAC